This 314-nucleotide ribosomal RNA is filed under the name uncultured bacterium. RNAcentral describes it as "bacterial SSU rRNA". It matches the Rfam family "Bacterial small subunit ribosomal RNA", at positions 28 to 345 of the family's 1533-position model. The record is from RNAcentral.
GACGAACGCUGGCGGCGUGCUUAACACAUGCAAGUCGAGCGGUAAGGCCCUUUCGGGGGUACACGAGCGGCGAACGGGUGAGUAACACGUGGGUGACCUGCCCUCAGCUCUGGGAUAAGCCUGGGAAACCGGGUCUAAUACCGGAUAUGACUCCAUGACGCAUGUUGUGGGGUGGAAAGCCUUGUGCGGCUGAGGAUGGGCCCGCGGCCUAUCAGCUUGUUGGUGGGGUGAUGGCCUACCAAGGCGACGACGGGUAGCCGGCCUGAGAGGCGACCGGCCACACUGGACUGAGACACGGCCCAGACUCCUACGGG